GGCUAGAGUUUGAUCAUGGCUCAGGACGAACGCUGGCGGCGUGCCUAAUACAUGCAAGUAGAACGCUGAAAAAAGGAGCUUGCUUCUUUUGGAUGACUUGCGAACGGGUGAGUAACGCGUAGGUAACCUGCCUUGUAGCGGGGGAUAACUAUUGGAAACGAUCGCUAAUACCGCAGAGCAGCUUUUGACACAUGUUACAAACUUGAAGGAUGCAUUUGCAUCACUACCAGAUGGACCUGCGUUGUAUUAGCUACUAGGUAGGGUAACGGCCUACCUAGGCGACGAUACAUAGCCGACCUGAGAGGGUGAUCGGCCACACUGGGACUGAGACACGGGCCACACUCCUACGGGAGGCAGCCCUACGGAAUCUUCGGCAAUGGGGGCAACCCUGACCGACCAACGCCUCAUGAGUGAACAACGCUUUCGGAUCGAAAAGCUCUGUUGCAAGAGAAUAAUGUGUGUGAGAGUGGAAAGUUCACACAGUGACGGUCACUUACCAGAAAGGGACGGCUAACUACUUGCCAGCAGCCGCGGGAAUACAUACGUCCCGAGCGUUGUCCGGAUUUAUUGGGCGUAAAGCGAGCGCAGGCGGUUUAAUAACUCUGAAGUUAAAGGCAGUGACUUAACCAUUGUUCGCUUUGCAGACUGUCUAAACUUGAAUGCAGAAGGUGAGAGUGGAAUUCCAUGAGUAGCGAUGAAAUGCGUAGAUAUAUGGAUGAACACCGGUGGCGAGAGCGGCUCUCUGGACUGUAACUGACGCUGAUGCUCCUAAGCGUGAGGAGCAAACGGAUGAGAUACCCAGGUGAUCCACGCCCUGACGAUCAUUGCUAAGUGUAGGACCGUUCGGGUCUUAGGCCGCAGCUCACGCUUAGCAC
Molecule: ribosomal RNA, 875 nt
Filed under: uncultured bacterium
Lineage: Bacteria
Description: bacterial SSU rRNA
Rfam family: Bacterial small subunit ribosomal RNA
Source: RNAcentral